RNAcentral lists this ribosomal RNA (1241 nucleotides) under metagenome. RNAcentral describes it as "bacterial LSU rRNA". It matches the Rfam family "Bacterial large subunit ribosomal RNA", at positions 1564 to 2814 of the family's 2925-position model. The record is from RNAcentral.
UGAAUACGAGAUGCUACGGCGUCGAAGCAGUGUAUGUCAGACUUCCAAGAAAAGCUCGCAAUGUCAUAAAUAAAGAAUGCCUGUACCAUAACCGACACAGGUGGGUAGGUAGAGUAUACUAAGGGGCGCGAGAUAACUCUCUCUAAGGAACUCGGCAAAAUAACUCCGUAACUUCGGGAGAAGGAGUGCCUUCUUUAAGAAGGUUGCAAUAACAAGAUCCAAGCAACUGUUUAUCAAAAACACAGGUCUCCGCUAAGUCGUAAGACGAUGUAUGGGGGCUGACGCCUGCCCAGUGCCAGAAGGUUAAAGAAGUUGGUUAGCUUUUGCGAAGCUGAUGACUGAAGCCCUGGUGAACGGCGGCCGUAACAAUAACGGUCCUAAGGUAGCGAAAUUCCUUGUCGGGUAAGUUCCGACCCGCACGAAAGGCGUAAUGAUUUGGAUACUGUCUCGGAGAGGGACUCGGUGAAAUAGACUUGUCUGUGAAGAUGCGGACUACCUGCACCAGGACAGAAAGACCCUAUGAAGCUUUACUGUAACUUGAAAUUGAAAUUGGACUUUAUUUGCGCAGUAUAGGUGGAAGGCGUUGAAAGUAAUCUUGCGGGAUUAGUGGAGCCAUCAGUGAGAUACCACUCCUAUAAUGUUAGAUUUCUAACUUUGGAUCAUGAUCUGGUCAAAGAACAGUUUCAGGCGGGCAGUUUGACUGGGGCGGUCGCCUCCCAAAUGGUAACGGAGGCGUACAAAGGUUUCCUCUGAACGGGUAGAAAUCGUAUCUAGAGUGUAAAGGCAUAAGGAAGCUUGACUGUGAGACCUACAAGUCGAGCAGGGACGAAAGUCGGUCUUAGUGAUCUGACGGUGCUGAGUGGAAAGGCCGUCACUCAACGGAUAAAAGUUACUCUAGGAUAACAGGCUGAUCUCCCCCAAGAGUUCACAUCGACGGGGAGGUUUGGCACCUCGAUGUCGGCUCAUCGCAUCCUGGGGCGGUAGUACGUCCCAAGGGUUGGGCUGUUCGCCCAUGAAAGCGGUACGCGAGCUGGGUUCAGAACGUCGUGAGACAGUUCGGUCCAUAUCCGGUGUAGGCGUUAGAAUAUUGAGAGGAGCCUUCUUUAGUACGAGAGGACCGAGAAGGACAUACCUCUGGUGUACCAGUUAUCGUGCCAACGGUAAACGCUGGGUAGCUAUGUAUGGAGAGGAUAACCGCUGAAAGCAUCUAAGUGGGAAGCCCACCUCAAGAUGAGUAUUCU